CAAAGGAGCAAUCCGCUGAAAGAUGGGCUCGCGUCCGAUUAGGUAGUUGGCGGGGCAACGGCCCACCAAGCCGACGAUCGGUAGCCGGACUGAGAGGUUGAACGGCCACAUUGGGACUGAGACACGGCCCAGACUCCUACGGGAGGCAGCAGUGAGGGAUAUUGGUCAAUGGGGGAGACCCUGAACCAGCAACGCCGCGUGAGGGAAGACGGUUUUCGGAUUGUAAACCUCUGUCCUCUGUGAAGAUGAUGACGGUAGCAGAGGAGGAAGCUCCGGCUAACUACGUGCCAGCAGCCGCGGUAAUACGUAGGGAGCAAGCGUUGUCCGGAUUUACUGGGUGUAAAGGGUGCGUAGGCGGCUUUGCAAGUCAGAAGUGAAAUCCAUGGGCUUAACCCAUGAACUGCUUUUGAAACUGCAGAGCUUGAGUGGAGUAGAGGUAGGCGGAAUUCCCGGUGUAGCGGUGAAAUGCGUAGAGAUCGGGAGGAACACCAGUGGCGAAGGCGGCCUGCUGGGCUCUAACUGACGCUGAGGCACGAAAGCGUGGGUAGCAAACAGGAUUAGAUACCCUGGUAGUCCACGCUGUAAACGAUGAUUACUAGGUGUGGGUGGACUGACCCCAUCC
RNAcentral lists this ribosomal RNA (622 nucleotides) under uncultured bacterium. Its description in RNAcentral is "bacterial SSU rRNA". It matches the Rfam family "Bacterial small subunit ribosomal RNA", at positions 202 to 842 of the family's 1533-position model. The record is from RNAcentral.